Molecule: ribosomal RNA, 253 nt
Filed under: uncultured bacterium
Lineage: Bacteria
Description: partial 16S ribosomal RNA
Rfam family: Bacterial small subunit ribosomal RNA
Source: RNAcentral
UACGUAGGGUGCAAGCGUUAAUCGGAAUUACUGGGCGUAAAGCGUGCGCAGGCGGUUUUGUAAGUCUGAUGUGAAAUCCCCGGGCUCAACCUGGGAAUUGCGUUGGAGACUGCAAGGCUAGAAUCUGGCAGAGGGGGGUAGAAUUCCACGUGUAACAGUGAAAUGCGUAGAGAUGUGGAGGAACACCGAUGGCGAAGGCAGCCCCCUGGGUCAAGAUUGACGCUCAUGCACGAAAGCGUGGGGAGCAAACAGG